GACGAACGCUGGCGGCGUGCUUAACACAUGCAAGUCGAACGGAAAGGCCCUGCUUUUGUGGGGUGCUCGAGUGGCGAACGGGUGAGUAACACGUGAGUAACCUGCCCUUGACUUUGGGAUAACUUCAGGAAACUGGGGCUAAUACCGGCUAGGAGCUCCUGCUGCAUGGUGGGGGUUGGACAGUUUCGGCGGUUGGGGAUGGACUCGCGGCUUAUCAGCUUGUUGGUGGGGUAGUGGCUUACCAAGGCUUUGACGGGUAGCCGGCCUGAGAGGGUGACCGGCCACAUUGGGACUGAGAUACGGCCCAGACUCCUACGGGAGGCAGCAGUGGGGAAUAUUGCACAAUGAGCGGAAGCCUGAUGCAGCGACGCCGCGUGCGGGAUGACGGCCUUCGGGUUGUAAACCGCUUUCGCCUGUGACGAAGCGUGAGUGACGGUAAUGGGUAAAGAAGCACCGGCUAACUACGUG
Molecule: ribosomal RNA, 468 nt
Filed under: uncultured bacterium
Lineage: Bacteria
Description: partial 16S ribosomal RNA
Rfam family: Bacterial small subunit ribosomal RNA
Source: RNAcentral